AGACAAGGUCAAGAUGAGAUAGAGCUUGCAUUCCGAUUCAGUGAGAGGAAUGACAGCCGAAGCUGAGGCCACGCCAAGGAUUCCCGAUUGAGAUUCUGGAUAAGCAGGGUUUCCUCCUCCGUGAAUGAGGUCAUGAGGCCACGACUUUGGCACUGAUCAUGAUGGCAUCCCCGCUUUCCAUGUCUUGGAACAUGAACACGCGAAAGUCGAAAUUAUUGAUAAGACGAUUCUCGGUAUCUCUCCAAGGAUUCACGGGCGCUAAAACGCGAUACGACGGAUUUCGACAACCCUCCUCGGUCACCAAUCUCGCCGUGUUUCUCUCAUCUCGCAUGGGUUGGCCCUUGUGUACGCGAUGAAUAAUCACAUCCGUGAUCUUGGCGUAGUUCCAACCUGAAACACAGUAUAAUAACUCGGUACAACCAACAGAUAUUUGCUUCCAUGGUACUGGAUCGAAGUUGCAGCCAACGACAUGUGCUUCUAAAUCUCUAAAUCAUCUAAAUCAUGGCCUCCUUACCAUCACCAGCGCGAACGAUACUUCUGAGUUGGACAUUUUCUCCCAAUUCGAUCGUGCUCCCCGAUUGGACACGGCUGGCAAACAAGUCGGUCCCGGCCAGGCGACGAAAAAGACCGAUUUCGCUCAAGAAGUCGUGACCUCCACCCAAAUAUAUUGUGGGAGAGCGUUGCUCGACUCUGGAAGUACAAUCAAAGGAAAGUAAAAUUUCGACCGUGACGUCAAUCGGGCUCUUUCAAGUAUUUUCCUUCCUCUCUUUGAUCCUCAUGGCGUUCAAAUCACUGGACUAUUGAGGGAUCAUUUAGUAACCACGAUACGAGGGUUGGUCGAAUCAAGGGAGACCAGCUUCUCUUAGGCAAAUGAUAAACUCCCAAAACGAAAUGGAUCUUCCACGUAUCUGACAAGAUGCCAAAAACGUCGCUAUUAGCGUGAGUGAUGAGCUCUGGCAACAAAAGCUUACACCACUGGCAUGCCUCACCGAGUGAACAAAGCCUCCAAAAAAUUCCAGGAAGUCAACUACCACGACCACAAUGGACUAAAUCAGGCUAAACAAGAAUGAGUGUGCAUCUUGUAAGUUAUCCUCCCCGGCUUCUUCGUUCAAACGCUACGUUCAGCGACCUCAGUAAGAAACAAAAACAAAAAGUCAACUCACGCGUUUUUUUGGAAGUUAAUGACAUUCCUACCCUCCACCGAGGGCUCUUGGGGCUUGCACUUGAUCUCGAUGACCUCGUCCUCGGGGAGCUUCAGUCCGGACAUGAUCGGGAAUCGAACCAGCAGACAAAGCCACCGCUCGCCGUCCACGGAACAAGUUUUCACCCCGCAUUCCUCCAGGCGAUUCAAAUCAAGCGCAAACACGCUAUUCAAAUUCGUUGCUGUGAUCAAACACAAAUCUUCAUCGGCCGUGGGUUUUUCCUCGAGAACCGGACUCGUCUCCUUUUGACCGUCUGGAGGUCGGAGAAAGGCCGUAAAGAGGUUGGAAGUGGGGGAUUCCAAGCAAUGGAUAUCUGCAAAGCGAUGAAGGACACGAAAUGAAUUCAUUAUUAUCUCAUGCACCUUGAUAUAUAAUUUGGUACGAGUUUGCUAAAUGUUCAUGCACUCCCUCCCUCACUACUUUUUGAUAAAACCAUAACAGUUCAACGUUA
Molecule: long non-coding RNA, 1653 nt
Organism: Tigriopus californicus
Lineage: Eukaryota; Metazoa; Arthropoda; Copepoda; Harpacticoida; Harpacticidae
Exons: 2
Source: RefSeq, a predicted model, not a curated record